CCUACGGGAGGCUGCAGUGGGGAAUAUUGGACAAUGGGGGGAACCCUGAUCCAGCCAUGCCGCGUGUGUGAAGAAGGCCCUCGGGUUGUAAAGCACUUUCAGUGAGGAAGAACGCCUGGUGGUUAAUACCCAUCAGGAAAGACAUCACUCACAGAAGAAGCACCGGCUAACUCCGUGCCAGCAGCCGCGGUAAUACGGAGGGUGCGAGCGUUAAUCGGAAUUACUGGGCGUAAAGCGCGCGUAGGUGGCUUGAUAAGCCGGUUGUGAAAGCCCCGGGCUCAACCUGGGAACGGCAUCCGGAACUGUCAAGCUAGAGUGCAGGAGAGGAAGGAAGAAUUCCCGGUGUAGCGGUGAAAUGCGUAGAGAUCGGGAGGAAUACCAGUGGCGAAGGCGGCCUUCUGGACUGACACUGACACUGAGGUGCGAAAGCGUGGGUAGCAAACAGGAUUAGAUACCCGGGUAGUC
Molecule: ribosomal RNA, 465 nt
Filed under: Vreelandella stevensii
Lineage: Bacteria; Pseudomonadati; Pseudomonadota; Gammaproteobacteria; Oceanospirillales; Halomonadaceae
Description: partial 16S ribosomal RNA
Rfam family: Bacterial small subunit ribosomal RNA
Source: RNAcentral